RNAcentral lists this ribosomal RNA (460 nucleotides) under uncultured bacterium. RNAcentral's name for it is "partial 16S ribosomal RNA". It matches the Rfam family "Bacterial small subunit ribosomal RNA", at positions 338 to 795 of the family's 1533-position model. The record is from RNAcentral.
CCUACGGGUGGCAGCAGUGAGGAAUAUUGGUCAAUGGACGAGAGUCUGAACCAGCCAAGUAGCGUGAAGGAUGACUGCCCUAUGGGUUGUAAACUUCUUUUAUAUGGGAAUAAAAUGUUCCACGUGUGGGAUUUUGUAUGUACCAUAUGAAUAAGGAACGGCUAACUCCGGGCCAGACGCCGCGGUAAUACGGAGGGUCCGGGCGUUAUCCGGGUUUAGUGGGGUUAGAGGGGGCGGAGGGGGGUUGUUAAGUCAGUUGUGAAAGUGUGCGGCUCAACCGUAAAAUUGCAGUUGAAACUGGUAGUGUGGAGUACAGUAGAGGUGGGCGGAAUUCGUGGUGUAGCGGUGAAAUGCGUAGAUAUCACGAAGAACUCCGAUUGCGAAGGCAGUUCACUGGACUACAACUGACACUGAGGCUCGAAAGUGUGGGUAUCAAACAGGAUUAGAUACCCUUGUAGUC